CUAAUGGGAUGUCAGUAUUCUAAUGAACACAGCCUGAGAAAUGUUGCUGUAAUCCUGACACUUCAAUCUUGCAGCAAACCUUGUGCUGAAAUUUUCUGCAUCAGAAAUCAUUCUGGAAUCCUUUUUACCUGGCACUGACUAAAGAGAUAUGGGUGUUCCUUCCCAGAAGUCUGUUCAGGAGUGAGCCACUGGAGAGCAGAAGAUUUUGGAGAGGUCUCAAAAGAAAUUUCUAUAACAAUUUCUUGAUUUCUGUAUGAAACACAUAAAUAUAUUAGUAGAGUAUGAUUCCAUCUAGUGAAAAUUUAAACUCAUAAUACAUACACUGAAUAAUAUAAAUAACAUAGUAUGCAUUCUCAUCACUGAUUGGCAGUAAGCUCUAGGUAUGCCACAUCCUCAGUGGGUAAGUCUCCUCUCAGUUUUCCUACCUAAUUGCCAGCCUGUGGGUCCUUUUACCUCUCCCAUGCUAACUGCUAGCGAAGGCUUAAUGGCAACUAACAGUGGUUGACUACCCCGUUGUGUGUCACGUACUUUGCAUCUGUGAUAUCAUUUAAUAUUUUAUUAGAGUGAAAAAGUAAAAGAAAUCAUUUUUGGGGCUUCAACUACCACAGCAGCAGGUGCCACAGCAUGACACAGAGCAGUGCUAGUCUGCAAACUGU
This is a long non-coding RNA of Homo sapiens (human), 656 nucleotides long. NCBI's taxonomy places the organism in Eukaryota, Metazoa, Chordata, Mammalia, Primates, Hominidae. The record is from Ensembl.